RNAcentral lists this unclassified non-coding RNA (266 nucleotides) under fungal sp. Its description in RNAcentral is "partial contains 5.8S ribosomal RNA, internal transcribed spacer 2, and large subunit ribosomal RNA". Lineage: Eukaryota; Fungi. The record is from RNAcentral.
CGCACAUUGCGCCCUUUGGCAUUCCGACGGGCAUGCCUGUUCGAGCGUCAUUAUCCUCUCUCCAAACCUCGCGUUUGGGUGUUGGACCGCGUUGGGGGCUCACCCCCCCCAACUGGUCUCAAAGACAAUGACGGCGUCCGUGGGACCCUCUUCGCACUGAGCUUUCCGGAGCACGCGUCGAGUUUCAAGGCCCCAGGGACCCGGUCCUCCUUUUUAUAUUUUAUCAGGUUGACCUCGGAUCAGGUAGGAAUACCCGCUGAACUUAA